UACGUAGGGUACCAGCGUUGUCCGGAUUUACUGGGCGUAAAGAGCGCGCAGGCGGUCGUUUAAGUCGGGUGUGAAAGCCCCCGGCUCAACUGGGGAGGGUCAUUCGAUACUGCUCGACUCGAAGGCAGGAGAGGGAAGCGGAAUUCCCGGUGUAGUGGUGAAAUGCGUAGAUAUCGGGAGGAACACCAGUGGCGAAGGCGGCUUCCUGGCCUGUUCUUGACGCUGAGGCGCGAAAGCUAGGGGAGCAAACGGG
This 253-nucleotide ribosomal RNA is filed under the name uncultured bacterium. RNAcentral's name for it is "partial 16S ribosomal RNA". It matches the Rfam family "Bacterial small subunit ribosomal RNA", at positions 524 to 776 of the family's 1533-position model. The record is from RNAcentral.